CCCUUAGAUGUUCUGGGCCGCACGCGCGCUACACUGACGAAUGCAACGAGCUUAUAACCUUGGCCGAAAGGUCUGGGUAAUCUCCAAAUUUCGUCGUGAUGGGGAUAGAUUAUUGCAAUUAUUAAUCUUCAACGAGGAAUCCCUAGUAAGCGCAAGUCAUCAGCUUGCGUUGAUUACGUCCCUGCCCUUUGUACACACCGCCCGUCGCUCCUACCGAUUGAAUGGUCCGGUGAAGCGUUCGGACCGUGGCCUUUGGACGGUUCGCCGUCUGUUGGCUGCGGGAAGUUCGUUAAACCUUAUCAUUUAGAGGAAGGAGAAGUCGUAACA
Molecule: ribosomal RNA, 327 nt
Filed under: uncultured eukaryote
Lineage: Eukaryota
Description: partial 18S ribosomal RNA
Rfam family: Eukaryotic small subunit ribosomal RNA
Source: RNAcentral